Non-coding RNA from Proteus penneri ATCC 35198, 192 nucleotides. Lineage: Bacteria; Pseudomonadati; Pseudomonadota; Gammaproteobacteria; Enterobacterales; Morganellaceae. The record is from Rfam.
AAUCGACAUUAAAGAUUCAUUUUGAGAGCCUUGUCCUACCGCAAGGUAAGCAUUCAUAUUGAGCUCUUUCAUUUGCUCUUCGCCAAUAACACGCGUAGAAACAUUUGAAGAGGAGUCUGCUAAUUGACGCGCUUGAGAAGCUAAAUAAGCAGCAUUACAGAUAUUUGGUGGCAUGUUUGCUAAAUCUUUACA